ACAUUCUUCUUAAUCGCUCACUUCAUUUAAAAACACAUUUGGCACCUGUAUCAGCCUUUUCUAAUUAUCUCAACAAUUGCCGUAUUAUAUUCAUCAAACUUCUAAUGAUAUGAACAACAGUCUUCAUACAGCAAUAUAACAGUAACAAUGACUGUCACAUGAGUAAUAACACAAAAAUAAAUGGU
This is a long non-coding RNA of Etheostoma cragini (Arkansas darter), 185 nucleotides long. RefSeq lists it as uncharacterized. The transcript is spliced from 3 exons. NCBI's taxonomy places the organism in Eukaryota, Metazoa, Chordata, Actinopteri, Perciformes, Percidae. The record is from RefSeq and is a predicted model, not a curated record.